This 14803-nucleotide long non-coding RNA is filed under the name Triticum aestivum (bread wheat). RNAcentral describes it as "long non-coding RNA (TAES_LNC012613)". Lineage: Eukaryota; Viridiplantae; Streptophyta; Magnoliopsida; Poales; Poaceae. The record is from RNAcentral.
CUGCUGCUGCUCUUGCUUGUGCCCCUGUGCUGCUGCCUUUCUUCUCCCCUUGCUACUGCUCUUCUUCUCCUACGCCUUGCUGCUGCUCCUUCUUCCCUCGCCUUGCUGCUGCUCCUCCACUUCUCAACUCGAACCAACUGCUCCUCCUCCUUCCCUUGCCUCUUCCCAAAUGCUGCUGCUCCUCUCCUCGCCCCUUUUGCUGCUGCUCUUCUCUGAAACCUCAAAACUGCUGUUGCUCCUCCCUAUUGCUUCACCCCUACUGCUCCUCCUCUCAACGUCUUGCUGCUGCUCUUCUCUGAAACCUCAAAACUGCUGCUUCUUCUCCCUCUCUCUAUUCUCUAAUUUUCUGUAAUCUUGAGUAGUGUAAUGUUCAUUACUUUGAAAUGUUCAGAAUUGAGAUGUGUAGCACUUGUAAGGUUCAGAUUUUGAUAAGUGUUUGCAACCAACUAGUUUGCUCAGUUCGUACUUGUUAAAUAUCAUGUCAUAAAAAUAUGUAAUAUUUUGUUACUUUGGUAAUUAGUGUUCUGUCAGCAUAUAUGUGUGUUCACCCUGUGUAUUUCUUCUCGCUGUACUUGUUAAUUUCUAUCAGUAAUUUUUAGUUGUUAAAUACUGUUGUGUUGAUCUGUGGGUACUAAUCUUGUGGCUUGUAAGAUUUCGUUUCUGUUGUCACUUGUGUAACCUGAACCGUGGUGUAGUAUCCUGUUCGCAUAUGUGUGGUUUGGCGUGUUCUGUAGUCCCCGUAUCAGCUAUGUACCUGUGAUAUAUGAAUGUGCGUGCGUGUGUGUGUUUGAUUAGAAACAAUUAUAUUCUGUCAUAUAUUGUCGCUUCUUCCUACUGUUAUAUGUUUGAUACUAAUGUGUCCUUGUCUUGUAGCUUUACUUGAUAUUGACUCCUGUUUGUGUUAGUAUUUUAAUUCCUCAAAUAAAACAAAAUACCAAAAAGAUAGUGAGUAAUAUCUUAACCUCCCUUUGCUAUUUUGCAUUUUCUUGGUGGAUUAUCUUCGGGUACAAUCAUUGUUAGUUUAGAUUCUUAUUUUCUGCAUUUAUCUCUUAAAAUUGUGCUACCUAGCUUUAGCCGAGCAUAGUCGUCGUCGCCUAGUCCCUGUGGAGAACACGACAUCCGUAGUUUGGGGCGUAAAAACCCCGUUGUACCUACAAUUGACCAUUUUGGCGCCGUUGCCGGGGACUAGUGUCGAGUGACCGUGUUAGGCUAUAGACUAGUUUUUUCUUCUUUUUCUAUUUUGUGCCAUAUAUUUGUGAUAUAUCUCUAACUCCUAACCCUUGUUCCAGAUUAUUUCCUCUUUGUUUUCUUUUCCUUUUUGCAGGUUAGAACCAUCUUCUCGGAUAUGGCUUAGUAUUCAGAUCAUCAUGCUUAUGCGAGCAACACUACAAACAGCACGGAAAGUAUUCAAGAACUGAUAAGUAAGAUUUCCCAUCAAUUAGAUGAUUUAGCUCGGCAGCGAGAAGUAGUUUUUGACGAUAGGCCUAGCUCUUAUGAUCCUUGUUCUAGAGGCCAUCCUUAUGUUGCUCCUACUUGCCAUAUUUGUGGAUUUCAGGGCCAUUCGCUCGCUGAAUGUCAGCGUGGUUACUCUCACACUCCAGAUUGUUUUGGCAUGAGCUUCGCUCAACAGCAUAGCUCAUACCAAAACAAUUACUCAUAUAGGUGGCCUGAAAACCCGAAUAUGUCAUAUAGGAGCAACAACCCUGAGAUCUCACCAUUUGCUUCUAGUAAUCAUAUGCAGGGAUUUAGGUACAAUGAGGAGAGCUACAACUAUGCUCCACAACAGAUUUAUUCAGCUCCUACUCAUAUACCUCAACACCAGGAGAUGUUGCCAAUGGAGUUAAAUGGUCCUCCAUUUGGUCAACCAACAACUCCAGCAACUGCUGAGCAAUCUCAUGUGCAAGUGCCCACACAAGAUGAAUUUGAUGAUAUAGACAAGCUCACAUUGCUUAGUCUCGAGUUCACUUGGAGUGCUGAGGAUGAUCCAAUUAGGCCGAUGAUACUAGAUGAAAUGAAGAAUAUCAAGAGUGGAAAAGAGCUAGUGAAUGAAGUAAGGAAGAUUGAGAAGAACAUCAACGCUGGUAGUACUAUCUCAUCUCUCCUUGAGCUGAGUGCUGCUAAGAUUUCUAGUCAUACAUGUGAGGUUCCAACACCGUCACAUUUAGCUGAGCAAGAUAGCGAGAGCCCAGAUGAAGAGAUACCUCGGAUUGAAGAUGUACUCGAAGCCAAGGCACAAGAUGAUCCAGAGCUCAAAUGCCCAAGUGAUCAAGUCGAAGACUCAUCAUCUACAACUCCUGAAGAAGUAGAAGAAGCUGUUGUAGUUGAAGAUGAAGAACCAGAAAUUCAAUUGCCUAUCAUCAUACAAGAGUGUGACAUUGCAGGUUUAUCUAAUCCUGUCAAUGGCAUGUCCCCAUAUGAAUUGUUUGCUACUACCUUGCAUUGCAUGAUGCCAUCUGUUAAAGUAGAUUUGAAAAAGUAUUUGCUUGGAUAUGAUCAUAUAUACCCUGUUAGUGGCAUUACUCACAUUAGUGAUGAUCACAGUUACUUUCCUCGUGCUAGACCUAUGCUUUAUGAAACAUAUCAUUCCCAUGCUAGUCUUGAGCUUAAUGGUAAAUAUCAUCCUCAUGUUAGUGUUGACCUUGCUGAUUUCUACCAUCCUAAACAUGUGCUUUAUAGCUAUGCUUAUGUAAUUGGAUAUUCGAUUGAUGACUUGGAGGGUAUUAUCCCUACCACUUGCAUUGUCUCUUUUGUUGUGAGUGCUUUUAGGUUUUUGCUUGUGCACGAUCCACUACAUGCUGACCAGGUUCGAGGUGACAUUCCUUGGGACCCUGGUGGACUUAGAGAAUGGGGAUGAGGAGAAGCAAGGGGGCACACACGAGGAAGGGAGAAGCUGGAGCAGGCAUGAGGAUAGAGAAGCAAAAGGAGAGGAGCUGCAGUUGGUGAGGUGAUCGAGCGAGUGCUACAUCAUCAAAGCCCGGUGAGCUGUUUCAUGACCCAUUCCGAGUAUAUCAUCCAUUGAUACAUGCUGAAAUCAAAUGUUAUUUGGUUUGCUUAAGCCAUGUCUUAAAUGUUGCCCCACUGAAUUUUUUUGACAUAUGGUGCUUGAUGAGAAUAUGCGAACUGUUUGUUGAAUGCCAUGUAAACUAGUGAUCUACAUAUUGCUUGCUUUGCUGAAAUUUGUGAAAGUUAUUAGUUUUGAGUGCUCAAAUCCCUAGUACACUAGAAAACUUAAUCAUUUUCUGCUUUUACCUUGAUACACCUAGAUCACCACGUUUAGAUGCUGAAUUUGUGCCAAGUGUCUUCCCAUUGAGAGCAAUCACCUAACCACUAUGGAUUAGCAUGCUAUGUUCCCUGGAUCUGUAGCAUGUGAACCAGACGUGGAGAAGUGAUGAUUCCUGUUUUUGUUCUUAUGCGUUGUUCAUUUAAGAUAAGUAAUAAUGAAUAAAUAAGUCUGGCUACCUACAGUAGCAUGUCAUGUUCCCGGGAUCGGUGGCAUGUGAAAUCAGGUUAGCUUGGGCAGUAAUUAAUAGUAAUAAAAAUGUAAUUGCCGAACCAGGUGUAUACCAUGUGAGGGAGUUCCGGACUAGGGGGUGUCCGGAUAGCCGAACUAUCAUCAUCGGCCGGACUCCAAGACUAUGAAGAUACAAGAUUGAAGACUUCGUCCCGUGUCCGGAUGGGACUUUCCUUGGUGUGGAAGGCAAGCUCGGCGAUACGGAUAUGUAGAUCUCCUACCGUUGUAACCGACUCUGUGUAACCCUAGCCCUCUCCGGUGUCUAUAUAAACCGGAUGGCUGUAGUCCAUAGGACGAACAACAAUCAUACCAUAGGCUAGCUUCUAGGGUUUAGCCUCCUUGAUCUCGUGGUAGAUCCACUCUUGUAAUACACAUCAUCAAUAUUAAUCAAGCAGGACGUAGGGUUUUACCUCCAUCAAGAGGGCCCGAACCUGGGUAAAAACAUCGUGUCCCUCGUCUCCUAUUACCAUCCGCCUAGACGCACAGUUCGGGACCCCCUACCCGAGAUCCGCCGGUUUUGACACCGACAUUGGUGCUUUCAUUGAGAGUUCCUCUGUGUCGUCACCGAUAGGCUCGAUGGCUUCUUCAAUCGUCAUCAAUGACGCAAUCCAGGGUGAGACUUUUCUCCCUGGACAAAUCUUCGUAUUCGGCGGCUUUGCACUGCGGGCCAAUUCGCUUGGCCAUCUGGAGCAGAUCGAAAGCUACGCCCCUGACCGUCAGGUCAGAUUUGGAAGUUUAAACUUCACGGUCGACAUCCGCGAGGACUUGAUCUUCGACGGAUCUGAGCCACAGCCAAGCGUGCCGCACUGUCACGACGAGCAUGAUUUAGUUCUGCAGCCGGACAGUACCCUGGAGGCCGCACUAGAACCCGCUCUGAUCUUCAAUUCGAAGCCGGCUGCGCAGAUUGAGGACGGAUGGCUAGACACCGCCUCGGGGGCUGCAACCUCUACGGCGAUAGAGCCGAACAGUGACCUCGUCCCUCAUAAAGCUUGUGACUCCGAGGCGCCGGACUCCUUGCCGGACUUCGAACCUCCCGCGCCCCCUCCGGUCGAAUCCGAUUGGGCGCCGAUCAUGGAGUUCACCGCAGCGAACAUCUUUCAACACUCACCUUUUGGCGACAUCUUGAGUUCGCUAAAGUAUCUCUCGUUAUUGGGAGAGUCCUGGCCGGACUACGGUUAGGACGGUUGGGAUGCGGACGACGAAGAAAUUCAAAGCCCACCCACCACCCACCUCGUAGCCGCUGUCGACGAUCUAACCGACAUGCUAGACUACGACUCCGAAGACAUCGACGGUAUGGACGAAGAUGUCGGAGACGACCAACAACCAGCGCCUACUGGGCACUGGAAAGCCACCUCAUCAUAUGACAUAUACAUGGUGGAUAUCCCAAAGGAUGGGAAUGGCGAAGAAACAGCGGGGGAUGACCCCUCCAAGAAGCAGCCCAAGCGCCGACGUCAGCGGCGCCGCUCUAAAUCCUGCCAUAGCAAGAAUGAAGACUCCGGCACCGGAGAUAACAAUACACCGAACAGUGCCGAAGAUAACCCACUCCAGCAAGAUGCAGCGCAGGAGGACGGAGACGCCAGCCCCCAUGAGAGAGCGGCAGAAGAAGAGGUAGAGGAUUAUAUGCCUCCCUCCGGAGACGAGGCAAGCCUCGACGACGACGAAUUCGUCGUGCCUGAGGAUCCCGUCGAACAAGAGCGUUUUAAACACAGGCUUAUGGCCACGGCGAACAGCCUCAAGAAAAAGCAGCAACAGCUUAGAGCUGAUCAAGAUCUGCUAGCCGACAGAUGGACUGAAGUCCUCGCGGCCGAAGAGCAUGAGCUCGAACGGCCCUCCAAAAUCUACCCUAAGCGCAAGUUGCUCCCCCGAUUAGAGGAGGAAGCAUAUGAACCCGCAUCACCAGGAGAUAAUACGGCUGACCGACCACCCCGUGGUCGAGACAGAGAGGCCUGUAGGCCCUUCACUAGACCCGUACCCCGGCAUCGCUCGAAAAGCGCAAGGCCACAGGGGAACACUCCGGACUUGCGAGAUAUAUUGGAGGAUAAGGCAAGACAAUCAAGAUCGAUCUAUGGAUCGCGUGGGCGUCCCAUGAUACGUGACGAUAAUCAUCGCGCCGGACACAGUAAGUCCGGCUGGGUCGAACAAAACAGGCAAAGUUCUUCUGAGCUCCGUCGUGAUAUUGCCCAGUACAGAGGCGCCGCACACCCACUAUGCUUCACAGAUGAAGUAAUGGAUCAUCAAAUCCCCAAAGGGUUUAAACCCGUCAAUAUUGAAUCCUACGAUGGCACAACAAACCCCGUAGUUUGGAUUGAAGACUAUCUCCUUCACAUCCACAUGGCCCGCGGUGACGAUCUACACGCCAUCAAAUACCUCCCCCUCAAGCUUAAAGGACUAGCCCGACAUUGGCUCAACAGCUUGCCAGCGGAGUCAAUUGGGAGUUGGGAGGACCUGGAAGCCGCAUUCCUCGAUAACUUCCAGGGCACUUAUGUGCGAUCACCAGACGCUGAUGACCUAAGACACAUAAUUCAGCAGCCAGACGAAUCGGCCAGGCAAUUCUGGACACGGUUCUUAACCAAGAAAAACCAAAUCGUCGACUGUCCGGAUGCGGAGGCCCUCGCGGCCUUCAAGCAUAACAUCCGCGACGAGUGGCUUGCCCGGCACCUGGGACAGGAAAAGCCGAAAUCCAUGGCAGCCCUCACAUCACUCAUGACCCGCUUCUGCGCGGGUGAGGACAACUGGCUAGCACGCAGUAACAACCUCAGCAAAAAUUCUGGCAGUCCAGACUUCAAGGACCGAAAUGGCAGGCCGCGUCGCAACAAAAACAAAUGCCGCAUUAAUGGCGAUCAUACUGAGGAUACGACAGUCAAUGCCGGAUUCAGAGGCUCUAAACCCGGUCAGCGGAAAAAGCCAUUCAAAAGAACUACUCCGGGUCCGUCCAAUUUGGACCGAAUACUCGACCGCUUGUGCCAGAUACAUGGCACCCCCGAAAAGCCAGCUAACCACACCAACAGGGACUAUUGGGUAUUCAAGCAGCCAGGCAAGUUAAUUGCUGAAAAUAAUGACAAGGGGCUACAUAGCGAUGACGAGGACGAGACCCAACCGCCGAACAAUAGAGGACAGAAGAGUUUCCCCCCACAGGUGCGGACGGUGAACAUGAUAUACGCAAUGCACAUACCCAAAAGGGAGCGGAAGCGUGCACUCAGGGAUGUCUACGCGAUGGAGCCAGUUGCCCCGAAGUUCAAUCCAUGGUCCUCCUGCCCGAUCACUUUUGACCGAAGGGACCACCCCACCAGCAUCCGUCACGGUGGAUUCGCCGCACUGGUCUUAGACCCAAUCGUCGAUGGAUUUCACCUAACCAGAGUCCUGAUGGACGGUGGCAGUAGCCUGAACCUGCUCUAUCAGGAUACAGUGCGCAAAAUGGGCAUAGACCCCUCAAGGAUCAAACCUACCAAGACGACCUUUAAAGGCGCCAUACCAGGUGUAGAAGCCAAUUGUACAGGCUUCGUUACACUGGAAGUGGUCUUCGGAUCCCCGGAUAACUUCCGAAGCGAGGAGUUAAUCUUCGACAUAGUCCCGUUCCGCAGCGGCUAUCAUGCUUUGCUCAGACGUACCGCGUUAGCAAAGUUCAACGCGGUGCCGCACUAUGCAUACCUCAAGCUCAAGAUGCCAGGCCCUCGAGGAGUCAUUACGGUCAAUGAAAACACUGAACGUUCUCUCCGAACGGAGGAACACACAGCGGCUCUCGCGACAGAAGUACAAAGCAGCCUCUUAAGGCAAUUCUCGAGUCCGUCCGUUAAACGGCCGGACACAGCUAAGCGCGCCCGGAGUAACCUACAACAAGACCAUCUGGCACAUUCCGAGCACACGUAGCAGUGCGGCCCCAACCCCAGCCCCUGCAAAACGUCAAAGCAAGUCCUUCAUGUACACCAUUACGCUCUGAAGAUACCAUGGGCAUGGGGAGAGGGGCACGACCACGAUAAACCCAGACUGCGGUUUAACCACACCAGGGGCUCUCAAGUGUGUCGUUCUUUUUUUUUACCUUUGAUUUUUUACCCACAGGACUCCAUUCGUCAGAGGCCUUGUCCGGCAGUAGACCUGCCGAACUCACGAUGCAACAGCCAGGGAAGGAUAAAAGCUACAGACGAAAAUACAGGUGGUCUCCAUUACGAGCAUUUUUAUACACCAAUUCGCAGCCUACCCCUGGAGGGGGACAUGUUUAACAGUCCCAUCCUUUGCUUAUCGCACUAUUUUUAUCGUUCUGCAUUCAUAGCAGCACUUAUUGAAUAAAACAAUGCAGUACCUUUUUGCUUAUAAUUGCAUUUUCUUUUUAUACAUAUGUUCAUUUAUGGCAUGUUGCACCCGUACACUUUGGUACGGCCACAAUACACCAGGGGCUUAUGCUUCCCGCAUCAUGGUGUGAUAAGUCCGAACACUUUCACAAGUGCGACACCCCGAACUUAUAGCACUAUAUGCAUCGGCUCCGAAUCAUGUCUUGGGUCAAUAGUUGGGUUUUCCCGGCUCCCAUGUUUUGGUACCUUAUGUUCCGUUAUAUCGGCUAAGGUAGCACUGGGAGAACCACUGCGAUUGCGCCCCAGUUGAGAUGGGUUAACGCCUCAGUGGAGAAAGCUAAAACUGACCGUCAUGAUGAGGCGAGAGCCGGUCGCUGUUUGGAGAGGUUUUUUGCGAGUCCUUAAAGACUUAUGCCGCUUAGAGCGAGGAGCUGGAUCCUGUCCGGCCCAGGCGUGGAUAGCGCCCCAAAUUCGGCCUUCCGAAGACUAGGGGCUUCGCCGAAAUUUAAAAUUAUAGAAUUCUCUGGCUAAGUGAGAGUGUUCAAGCAUUAUAAGUCCGGUUGCCUUGUUCGCUGUGUUGAGCGCCUCCCUCGAUGGACCCAAAAAUGGGAACAAGAGUGCUCAAGUUUAUCCCGAACACCCCACCACUCGUGGCAUGGGGGCUGAAGCCGAUGACUUGCCAUCUCUCAGAUUUGAUAAACAGCCGCACAGAAGGUAAUAUUUUAAAUUAACAAGCGUUGCUUAGUGCAUAUGAACCAAGUUUUCAGCGCACAGGAUAACAAAAUGCGAGUCUACUAAAAAAUUACAUCUUUGGAGCACUCUCCCGCAAUAGUGCGGGCGCCCUUCAGCACGCUCUUAUAAUACAUCUCGGGCGUGCGAUAUUCCUUGCCCUCUGGUGGUGGGUCCGUCACAAGCUUCUGGGCAUCCAUCUUGCCCCAGUGCACCUUUGCGCGGGCAAGGGCCCGAUGGGCACCCUCAAUACAGGCGGAGUGCUUGAUGACUUCAACCCAUGGGCACGCAUCCACCAGCCGCCGCACCAGGCCGAAGUAGCUCCCAGGCAUGGCCUCCUUAGGCCACAGCCGAACUAUGAGGCCUCUCAUGGCCUGUUCGGCCGCCUUGUGAAGCUCGACCAGCUGCUUCAGCUGGUCGCUAAGGGGCGCCGGAUGUUCGGCCUCAGCAUACUGAGACCAUAAGACCUUCUCCGUCGAGCUCCCCUCCUCGGCCCGGUAGAAUGCGGCAGCGUCGUACACGCUGCGAGGAAGAUCUGCGAACGCUCCUGGAGAGCUCCGAAUUCGGGUAAGCAACAGGUAAUUAACACUCACAUGCUUACUUUGCAUGAAAAAUGCCUUACCCGCUGCUAUUUUCUUCACCGCCUCAAUCUCCUGGAGGGCCUUGUAGGCUUCGGCCUUAGCGGCUUUGGCACUCUCACGAGCCGUUGCAAGCUCAGACUCUCGAGUCUUCGAGUCACGCUCCAAGCUCUCAUGUUUUUUCAUGAGAUCCUGGAGCUCUUGCUGUACCUCCGCCACCCGCGCCUCCUGCCUCUUUCGCUCGGUCCGCUCCGCGGCCGCAUUGCAUUCGGCCGCGGCCACUGCCUCCUUCAGGGUCGCCACCUCGUUUGUGACCCCUGCAAUACCCAAGUUAUCCUUGUCAUUUUUUGCAACCAAAUCCUUUUCUGUAAGGUACAAUUUUCAUAAGGUAUUACUAACCUUCUUUUUCCUCGAGCUGCUUCUUGGCACGGCCGAGCUCGUUCUCGGACCGCUCGAGGUUUUCCUUCAAAAUAUUGACCUCCGCAGUCAGUGCGGCAGAGGUCAGCAGCACAGCCUGCAAUCCCAUAUUGACAUAUUUUCAUGACUCCUGCGUUUAUCUUUCUAUAGAUCCUCAGUCCGGCUUUUCUUUCCGAACACCAAACCGAGCAUCAGGGGCUACUGUCUAUGCGGUACUAUUUUACAUAUAUUGAAAUUCUUACCUCAAAGCCUGAUAGAAGGCUGCUGCAGGCUUCGGUCAGCCCGCUCUUGGCAAGCUGCACCUUCUGAAUCACCGCACUCAUAACAGUGCGGUGGUCCUCUUUGAUGGAGGCGCCGUUAAGCGCCUCCAGCAAAUUGUCCGGCGCCUCCGGUUGGACGGAGGUUGCCGGCGUCACGGUCUUGCCCUUCUUACGAAGGGGUCGCCCUCCGGACUCCGGAGCCAUUGUGGCCUUCGGGGCUGAGUCCGGUGCAAAGUCCGGGAGGUUGUCCUGCGACACCUCCAGGGACUCCUCCUCCUGGUAGGUCCCUUCCUGGGACCCCACCUCGGCGUCGUCCGCGGCACGGGGGGUAGAGGCAGUCGGAAGAGAAUCCAUAUCCGACGCACCUAAGGACCCGCUCGAUGAAGCGGGAAGAUCAUCCUUAGGCGGACUACAGGGUUGUAUGCGGCAUUAGAAAGACAUUAUGUGAUGAAAAAUAUAAACCUUGAAGUUAUUCGGGAGUCCGGAUACUUACGAUCUCGCCUGAGGCUUGGCCCUUGGAGGCCAGUCCUUGUCGUCAUCACUGGCGUUGGCGGAACAGUCCGGGGGAAGAGUUUUUCCCUUCUUGGACCCUUCGGCCUCCCUUGUAGGAGAGGCCUUCCUUUUCUUCCCUCCCCCCGCUGGGGGAGAGGCUUUCUUCUUCUCCUCCUCGCCUUGGUGGGAGGAGUCGGCCUCGGAUUCAUCAUCCGAUAGCACCUGAAAACGGGAACUCUUCCGAGUCCCCGUGGCCUUCUUCUUGGCCUUCUUCUCCGGCACCACGUGGGGUGUCGGAGCCAGCAGCCCCAUUAGGCGGGCGUCAGCUGGGUCCUUUGGCAAUGGGGCCGGACAAAUAGCCUGUGCGGCCUUCUUCAGCCAGUCCUGUCAAAGGAAAGGGAGUUUAGAUCCCGCAUAGAGUCAAACUAUGGAAAACAAGCGUCCCUUAAAGGACAGAAUAACUUACUUCAUCAGCUGGACGCUCCAAGCUGAAUCCGCGAUCUUCGGUAGCGGAUGCGGGAGCCUCGGCGCCCUUGAACAGCACCUUCCAGACCUCUUCGUACGUAGUGCCGAAGAGCCCAUUCAGAGUCUGGUGCUGCGCCGGAUCAAACUCCCACAUAUUGAAGCCCCGUCAUUGGCACGGGAGAAUCUGGCGGAUGAGCAUGACCUGGACUACGUUGACGAGCUUGAGCUUCUUGUCCACCAGCUUUUGGACGCAGGCUUGGAGUCCGGUCAGCUCCUCCGAAUCGCCCCAAAUUCGGCCGCUCUCUUUCCAAGAGGUGAGCCGUGUGGGGAUGCCGGAUCUGAAUUCGAGGGCCGCUGCCCAUUCAGGGUCACACGGCUCGGUGAUGUAGAACCACCCCGAUUGCUACCCCUUGAUGGUUUCCACAAAAGUGCCCUCCAGCCACGUAACCUGGGACAUCCUACCCACCAUGGCGCCUCCGCACUCCGCUUGGCUGCCCUUCACAACCUUCGGCUUGACACUGAAGGUCUUGAGCCACAAGCCGAAGUGGGGCUGGAUGCAGAGGAAAGCCUCGCACACGACGAUAAACGCCGAGAUGUUGAGGAUAAAAUUUGGGGCCAGAUCAUGGAAAUCUAGGCCAUAGUAGAACAUGAGCCCCCGGACAAAAGGAUGAAGUGGGAAGCCUAGUACGCGGAGGAAAUGGGGAAGAAACACUACCCUCUCAUGGGGCCUGGGGGUGGGGAUGAGCUCUCCCUCGUCGGGGAGCCGAUGCGCGAUGUCGCUGGACAAGUAUCCGGCGCUGCGCAGCUUCUGGAUAUGCCCCUCCGUGACGGAGGAGGCCAUCCACUUGCCUCCCGCUCCAGACAUAUUUGGAGAAGGUUGAGGUGAGAUGUGCGGGCUUGGACGCUAGAGCUCGAGUUCGCGGAGAUGGAUAAGCUAAGGAGGAAGAAGGUGCAGGUAAAAGGGUUGGAUCUUUAUCCCCUUAUAUGGGCGGACGAAAACAUGUGUCCCCACCGGCCUGGUAAAACUCGCUUAUCUCCCAAGCGUCACAAUCAAUGGCGCCAUUGGGUUACCCACGUCCGUAUUAAUGGGAAUCCCGGAAUAAGGGGAACACGAUCUCUGCUUCGACAAGACGUGCCAAGGAAACCGCCUCGCUAAACGCGCUGAGGUGGAACAAUAAAAACAAUUCGAGUAAAGGCUUGGAAGUGGUGUGACGUCACGCCACAGAAUACGUCGGCAGAUUGAUCUUGUGUAAUAUUAUUCUCUCUACGGUGGUAUGUGGAAUUUAUUUUUGCAGAGCCGGACACUAUCCUGGUGUUCACAAUCUUCUAUAAAUUAUUCGGAGGAGGAACCCGCCUUGCAAUGCCAAAGACAAUAUGCGCGCCGGACUCGUCGUCAUUGAAGCCUGGUUCAGGGGCUACUGAGGGAGUUCCGGACUAGGGGGUGUCCGGAUAGCCGAACUAUCAUCAUCGGCCGGACUCCAAGACUAUGAAGAUACAAGAUUGAAGACUUCGUCCUGUGUCCGGAUGGGACUUUCCUUGGCGUGGAAGGCAAGCUUGGCGAUACGGAUAUGUAGAUCUCCUACCUUUGUAACCGACUCUGUGUAACCCUAGCCCUCUCCGGUGUCUAUAUAAACCGGAUGGCUGUAGUCCAUAGGACGAACAACAAUCAUACCAUAGGCUAGCUUCUAGGGUUUAGCCUCCUUGAUCUCGUGGUAGAUCCAGUCUUGUAAUACACAUCAUCAAUAUUAAUCAAGCAGGACGUAGGGUUUUACCUCCAUCAAGAGGGCCUGAACCUGGGUAAAAACAUCGUGUCCCUUGUCUCCUGUUACCAUCCGCCUAGACGCACAGUUCGGGACCCCCUACCCGAGAUCCGCCGGUUUUGACACCGACACCAUGUUCUCGGGAUCGGUGGUAUGUUCCUUUGGGGAGACAAACAAUUUUUUUUAAUAAAAAUUGGUUGAGCCAGGUGUAUACCAUGUUCUCGGGAUCGGUGGUAUGUUCCUUCGGUGAGACUAAUGAAAUAAUAUGUGUGUUUCUUUCAAAUUCAAUAAGUGGUUCAACCACAAAGUCAUAUUUCUGCAAAUAAGAGAUUUAAUUCCAGUUCUUUUUGUUCUCAGGAUCAUGCUCUCUUUAGGAAUCAUUUGGCGUAGUCAUCAUUUAAACUUGUUGAUCCUCUUUUAUCAUUGUAAAAGUUUAAAAUGGUCAUGCUUACUAGUAUCUUACCGCUUUGAAGCACUCCUAACCAUUAAUUUUCACUAGCUAAGUCCAAAGCAUGCACUGUUUAGACAUCUACUUCACUUGGUAUUCUCUAGUCAGCUCACUGUUCACAUUCUUGCUCUUGUCAUAUACCUUUGCUUGAGGACAAGCAAAAGUUUAAGUGUGCGGGAACUUGAUAAGCACAUUUCAUAUAUAUAAUUUUGGCACAUAAACACACCAUUUAUUGUGAUCCGACGAUCCAUUCUUGCUGUGAACUAUGAUAUAUUUGAAUGAAAAUCAUAUAAAAGAUCAUUUACUCAUCAUUUGAUUAUUUUGCAGAAAAGUGCGCAAAGGCACUAUAAUCUUCAAGAUUCGGACGAAUUGGCCAUUGAGAAGAGAGAAGGGCAGGAAAGAAGUGAAGAAAGGGACCUGAGCAUGAAGGAAAGAAGAAACCGGGGGCCAAAACUAAAGAAGGAAGGGCUCUACUUGGGAAGAAAGAAGAAAGGAGAAGGGCCAAAGUAAAAAAAAAGACAGAUCAGGGAGGGGGUCAAAAUCCCUAGCGCUGCUCCAUUCCCAAAUUGGGCCUGGCCACAUCUUCAUCUCUCUUCCCCUCACCAGUCCUUCUUCACCUCCGGCCGCCGCCACGGCCAGGCCGGCGUGGUGGUGCGCCUCCGCAGCCCAUCCACCCACCAGCGCCAUCCAUCACCAGCACCAACACCCAGCGCCACCCAACACCUCCACACGCUCCACACCGCCACCAUCCAUCACCACCACUCCCCGCUUCACCGCGCCAUCAUCACCCCCUCCCCACUGAACACCUCCGUGCGAGAGUUUCCCUGCUGCCGUCCUUCUUUCCUUGCCUCUGUUGCUGCUCUUGCUUGCACCCCUGUGCUGCUGCCUUUCUUCUCCCCUUGCUACUGCUCUUCUUGUCCUACGCCUUGCUGCUCCUCCUUCUUCCCUCGCCUUGCUGCUGCUCCUCCACUUCUCAACUCGAACCAGCUCCUCCUCCUCCUUCCCUUGCCUCUUCCCAACUGCUGCUGCUCCUCUCCUCACCCCUUUUGCUGCUACUCUUCUCUGAAAUCUCAAAACUGCUGCUGCUCCUCCCUAUUGCUUCACCCCUACUGCUCCUCCUCUCAACGUCUUGCUGCUGCUCUUCUCUGAAACCUCAAAACUGCUGCUUCUUCUCCCUCUCUCUAUUCUCUAAUUUUCUGUAAUCUUGAGUAGUGUAAUGUUCAUUACUUUGAAAUGUUCAGAAUUGAGAUGUGUAGCACUUGUAAGGUUCAGAUUUUGAUAAGUGUUUGCAACCAACUAGUUUGUUCAGUUUGUACUUGUUAAAUAUCAUGUCAUAAAAAUAUGUAAUAUUUUGUUACUUUGGUAAUUAGUGUUUUGUCAGCAUAUAUGUGUGUUCACCCUGUGUAUUUCUUCUCGCUGUACUAGUUAAUUUCUAUCAGUAAUUUUUAGUUGUUAAAUACUGUUGUGUUGAUCUGUGGGUACUAAUCUUGUGGCUUGUAAGAUUUCGUUUCUGUUGUCACUUGUGUAACCUGAACCGUGGUGUAGUAUGCUGUUCGCAUAUGUGUGGUUUUGUGUGUUCUGUAGUCCCCGUAUCAGCUAUGUACCUGUGAUAUAUGAAUGUGCGUGUGUGUGUGUGUGUUUGAUUAGAAACAAUUAUAUUCUGUCAUAUAUUGUCGCUUCUUCCUACUGUUAUAUGUUUGAUACUAAUGUGUCCUUGUCUUGUAGCUUUACUUGAUAUUGACUCCUGUUUGUGUUAGUAUUUUAAUUCCUCAAAUAAAACAAAAUACCAAAAAGAUAGUGAGUAAUAUCUUAACCUCCCUUUGCUAUUUUGCAUUUUCUUGGUGGAUUAUCUUCGGG